RNAcentral lists this ribosomal RNA (2932 nucleotides) under Escherichia coli. RNAcentral describes it as "bacterial LSU rRNA". It matches the Rfam family "Bacterial large subunit ribosomal RNA". Lineage: Bacteria; Pseudomonadati; Pseudomonadota; Gammaproteobacteria; Enterobacterales; Enterobacteriaceae. The record is from RNAcentral.
GGGUUGUGAGGUUAAGCGACUAAGCGUACACGGUGGAUGCCCUGGCAGUCAGAGGCGAUGAAGGACGUGCUAAUCUGCGAUAAGCGUCGGUAAGGUGAUAUGAACCGUUAUAACCGGCGAUUUCCGAAUGGGGAAACCCAGUGUGAUUCGUCACACUAUCAUUAACUGAAUCCAUAGGUUAAUGAGGCGAACCGGGGGAACUGAAACAUCUAAGUACCCCGAGGAAAAGAAAUCAACCGAGAUUCCCCCAGUAGCGGCGAGCGAACGGGGAGGAGCCCAGAGCCUGAAUCAGUGUGUGUGUUAGUGGAAGCGUCUGGAAAGGCGCGCGAUACAGGGUGACAGCCCCGUACACAAAAAUGCACAUACUGUGAGCUCGAUGAGUAGGGCGGGACACGUGGUAUCCUGUCUGAAUAUGGGGGGACCAUCCUCCAAGGCUAAAUACUCCUGACUGACCGAUAGUGAACCAGUACCGUGAGGGAAAGGCGAAAAGAACCCCGGCGAGGGGAGUGAAAAAGAACCUGAAACCGUGUACGUACAAGCAGUGGGAGCACGCUUCGGCGUGUGACUGCGUACCUUUUGUAUAAUGGGUCAGCGACUUAUAUUCUGUAGCAAGGUUAACCGAAUAGGGGAGCCGAAGGGAAACCGAGUCUUAACUGGGCGUUAAGUUGCAGGGUAUAGACCCGAAACCCGGUGAUCUAGCCAUGGGCAGGUUGAAGGUUGGGUAACACUAACUGGAGGACCGAACCGACUAAUGUUGAAAAAUUAGCGGAUGACUUGUGGCUGGGGGUGAAAGGCCAAUCAAACCGGGAGAUAGCUGGUUCUCCCCGAAAGCUAUUUAGGUAGCGCCUCGUGAAUUCAUCUCCGGGGGUAGAGCACUGUUUCGGCAAGGGGGUCAUCCCGACUUACCAACCCGAUGCAAACUGCGAAUACCGGAGAAUGUUAUCACGGGAGACACACGGCGGGUGCUAACGUCCGUCGUGAAGAGGGAAACAACCCAGACCGCCAGCUAAGGUCCCAAAGUCAUGGUUAAGUGGGAAACGAUGUGGGAAGGCCCAGACAGCCAGGAUGUUGGCUUAGAAGCAGCCAUCAUUUAAAGAAAGCGUAAUAGCUCACUGGUCGAGUCGGCCUGCGCGGAAGAUGUAACGGGGCUAAACCAUGCACCGAAGCUGCGGCAGCGACACUAUGUGUUGUUGGGUAGGGGAGCGUUCUGUAAGCCUGUGAAGGUGUGCUGUGAGGCAUGCUGGAGGUAUCAGAAGUGCGAAUGCUGACAUAAGUAACGAUAAAGCGGGUGAAAAGCCCGCUCGCCGGAAGACCAAGGGUUCCUGUCCAACGUUAAUCGGGGCAGGGUGAGUCGACCCCUAAGGCGAGGCCGAAAGGCGUAGUCGAUGGGAAACAGGUUAAUAUUCCUGUACUUGGUGUUACUGCGAAGGGGGGACGGAGAAGGCUAUGUUGGCCGGGCGACGGUUGUCCCGGUUUAAGCGUGUAGGCUGGUUUUCCAGGCAAAUCCGGAAAACUAAGGCUGAGGCGUGAUGACGAGGCACUACGGUGCUGAAGCAACAAAUGCCCUGCUUCCAGGAAAAGCCUCUAAGCAUCAGGUAACAUCAAAUCGUACCCCAAACCGACACAGGUGGUCAGGUAGAGAAUACCAAGGCGCUUGAGAGAACUCGGGUGAAGGAACUAGGCAAAAUGGUGCCGUAACUUCGGGAGAAGGCACGCUGAUAUGUAGGUGAAGCGACUUGCUCGUGGAGCUGAAAUCAGUCGAAGAUACCAGCUGGCUGCAACUGUUUAUUAAAAACACAGCACUGUGCAAACACGAAAGUGGACGUAUACGGUGUGACGCCUGCCCGGUGCCGGAAGGUUAAUUGAUGGGGUUAGCGGUAACGCGAAGCUCUUGAUCGAAGCCCCGGUAAACGGCGGCCGUAACUAUAACGGUCCUAAGGUAGCGAAAUUCCUUGUCGGGUAAGUUCCGACCUGCACGAAUGGCGUAAUGAUGGCCAGGCUGUCUCCACCCGAGACUCAGUGAAAUUGAACUCGCUGUGAAGAUGCAGUGUACCCGCGGCAAGACGGAAAGACCCCGUGAACCUUUACUAUAGCUUGACACUGAACAUUGAGCCUUGAUGUGUAGGAUAGGUGGGAGGCUUUGAAGUGUGGACGCCAGUCUGCAUGGAGCCGACCUUGAAAUACCACCCUUUAAUGUUUGAUGUUCUAACGUUGACCCGUGAUCCGGGUUGCGGACAGUGUCUGGUGGGUAGUUUGACUGGGGCGGUCUCCUCCUAAAGAGUAACGGAGGAGCACGAAGGUUGGCUAAUCCUGGUCGGACAUCAGGAGGUUAGUGCAAUGGCAUAAGCCAGCUUGACUGCGAGCGUGACGGCGCGAGCAGGUGCGAAAGCAGGUCAUAGUGAUCCGGUGGUUCUGAAUGGAAGGGCCAUCGCUCAACGGAUAAAAGGUACUCCGGGGAUAACAGGCUGAUACCGCCCAAGAGUUCAUAUCGACGGCGGUGUUUGGCACCUCGAUGUCGGCUCAUCACAUCCUGGGGCUGAAGUAGGUCCCAAGGGUAUGGCUGUUCGCCAUUUAAAGUGGUACGCGAGCUGGGUUUAGAACGUCGUGAGACAGUUCGGUCCCUAUCUGCCGUGGGCGCUGGAGAACUGAGGGGGGCUGCUCCUAGUACGAGAGGACCGGAGUGGACGCAUCACUGGUGUUCGGGUUGUCAUGCCAAUGGCACUGCCCGGUAGCUAAAUGCGGAAGAGAUAAGUGCUGAAAGCAUCUAAGCACGAAACUUGCCCCGAGAUGAGUUCUCCCUGACUCCCUGAGAGUCCUGAAGGAACGUUGAAGACGACGACGUUGAUAGGCCGGGUGUGUAAGCGCAGCGAUGCGUUGAGCUAACCGGUACUAAUGAACCGUGAGGCUUAACCUUACAACGCCGAAGGUGUUU